Molecule: long non-coding RNA, 1188 nt
Filed under: Danio rerio (zebrafish)
Lineage: Eukaryota; Metazoa; Chordata; Actinopteri; Cypriniformes; Danionidae
Description: lncRNA (ENSDARG00000117544.1)
Source: RNAcentral
AUAGUUAUGAAACCCCAUUUAAUAACAAAAUGCAUACACACAUCUGGGUUUGCAAAAAUCACAAAAGGCAAACUCUUAAACACUGCAAAUUGAUGUUCCCCGUGGAGCUUUGUCUCGGGAUUAGUUUUGCAUGUUUUGUUUACCAGAUGUCUGGAAUGCCGUCUUCCUCCUUAUGCACCAUAAUCAAUCUCAGACAUCAAAAAAGAUAAAAUCAUGUUGACAUUGUGUAAUCCAGUUAGCCUGUUUUUUUCACGAUCCGUCCAGCAAUGAUGCUCGCUUUAUUUUCCUCUCAAGUAGAAACUGAGGCUGCCGAAAAUAAAUGAAUGCUGGGAAUCGACACGUCGUGCACCUGUAUGUCAGAGGCCUGUUAGUUCUUCCGUUACAGCAACAACACGAAGCCCCUCAACGUCCAGCGGCUCUCGGUGGGCAUUUGACCCGCUACUAUGAGUCUAACAGUAGGAAUGAAGGGGCCAGAAAACGCUCUGUUUGUUUUUCCACAUUCUACUUCGAUCUGAAGCUGAGAAUUCGCGUCAGUUUGAUCUACACAUGAGCUCUCGCUACGAGCGCCGAGAAACAACAGGACGCGGCGAGGCUCAUUCAGCGCGUGUUUGACUUUCCCCUCAGAAAACCGCGCGCUUCAAAGAAACGCCGUACGACGAACGAGACUCAAAACACCUCACCUUACAUCAUUGAAAUAACAAACUGACUUUUAUUGAGCCCGAAAACUAAUAUUAUUCCCUCAGCACAAACUGGUGACUGUAUUAUUGCGAUUUUCAACCGAGAGAAGAGAUGGACAUACCAGAAGUUCUGCUGAAGGAGACACCGCAGGCAAACACGCUUUGUUUAUGCACCUGUCAAUUGACUCAUAUUCAGGAACGAUGCAUUCCAGAGAAGGAAAAGGAGCGAUUCCUCCGGCAGGACUUAUGAUUGUAUUCCUGGAAAAGAGCCUGGCACACAGGUUGUGUUUACAGAGUUCAUUCUUCAUGACUGGAAUUGAGGUGAACGGGUUGACUUUGGAUUGGGAUUUGAAGUUAUUGAAUCCCACGGAAGUCUGGAUUGAAAUAAUGACAAACAGUUGCGGUUCCAGUUCGCAUUUUAUGUUUUGGAUUAGUGGAUAAAUUACAUGACAUAAUUUUUUUGUCCGGAUCUAUUAAAUGUUUGUCUACAUAAAGAAACAGUUCACCCAAA